Molecule: transfer RNA, 76 nt
Filed under: Cryobacterium sp. SO1
Lineage: Bacteria; Bacillati; Actinomycetota; Actinomycetes; Micrococcales; Microbacteriaceae
Description: tRNA-Gly
Source: RNAcentral
UGACGGUGGUGCCGGAGGCGCCGCCGGUGCCGCCGGUGUCGAUGCCCGACGUCGGGUCGCUGCCGGCGCCGCCGGC